AGUUUCUCUCCCGGGCAGCCCGAAACUUUCAUCCCUUCUCGGUUCUCGAUGGGCUUUCAGGAAUCCCGAGAAGUUGCUGAUUGCUCCCGGCUUCAGUUCUUUCUGCGCUUCAGUCCCGGUGCCGCCUCCUCUGAAGCCUGGUGGGUUCUGCCCGAGGCCAGUGCCAGGGCCCCAGCGUUGAAAGAGCCCGAAGCAGGAAGGCGGAGGAGUCGCGCCGCCCAGCGGAGAACCCGCCAAAGCACAGACUCUUAGUCACCAUCAUGAAUAUUGGUCAUCACUCCUUGGCACAUUGGACUGUACAGGUGGCUCCACCGAGAUGGCCUUCCAACCACUGUCUGCGAUGGACAGUCUCAUUACGGAAGCGGAUCCGGAAGAAAGUGGGCCAGGGUCUUUAGCUCCGUACUCGUCCCUCCUGGUUCUACCACCAAGACGGAGUGGGGAUGUUCCAGGCGUAGACCUGAUGGCAUCCCUACCUGAGGUCCAGCUCCUCACCAUUAAUCUUGCUUGCCUCUGAUGCCACCCGGGGUGCAAUCAGAGUAACCUUCCGGAAUGCCUCCCAAGCUAAGACUGCUGCGGGAAACAUUUGUCACCUGAGUGCCUGUGCAUGACCCUGAGUAUAUUCCUGACCACAAUAAAGACUGAUAUGAAC
Bos taurus (domestic cattle) is the source of this 649-nucleotide long non-coding RNA. Lineage: Eukaryota; Metazoa; Chordata; Mammalia; Artiodactyla; Bovidae. The record is from Ensembl.